AAAUUGAAGAGUUUGAUCAUGGCUCAGAUUGAACGCUGGCGGCAGGCCUAACACAUGCAAGUCGAGCGGUAGCACAGAGAGCUUGCUCUCGGGUGACGAGCGGCGGACGGGUGAGUAAUGUCUGGGAAACUGCCUGAUGGAGGGGGAUAACUACUGGAAACGGUAGCUAAUACCGCAUAACGUCGCAAGACCAAAGUGGGGGACCUUCGGGCCUCAUGCCAUCAGAUGUGCCCAGAUGGGAUUAGCUGGUAGGUGGGGUAACGGCUCACCUAGGCGACGAUCCCUAGCUGGUCUGAGAGGAUGACCAGCCACACUGGAACUGAGACACGGUCCAGACUCCUACGGGAGGCAGCAGUGGGGAAUAUUGCACAAUGGGCGCAAGCCUGAUGCAGCCAUGCCGCGUGUGUGAAGAAGGCCUUCGGGUUGUAAAGCACUUUCAGCGGGGAGGAAGGCGGUGAGGUUAAUAACCUCAUCGAUUGACGUUACCCGCAGAAGAAGCACCGGCUAACUCCGUGCCAGCAGCCGCGGUAAUACGGAGGGUGCAAGCGUUAAUCGGAAUUACUGGGCGUAAAGCGCACGCAGGCGGUCUGUCAAGUCGGAUGUGAAAUCCCCGGGCUCAACCUGGGAACUGCAUUCGAAACUGGCAGGCUAGAGUCUUGUAGAGGGGGGUAGAAUUCCAGGUGUAGCGGUGAAAUGCGUAGAGAUCUGGAGGAAUACCGGUGGCGAAGGCGGCCCCCUGGACAAAGACUGACGCUCAGGUGCGAAAGCGUGGGGAGCAAACAGGAUUAGAUACCCUGGUAGUCCACGCUGUAAACGAUGUCGAUUUGGAGGUUGUGCCCUUGAGGCGUGGCUUCCGGAGCUAACGCGUUAAAUCGACCGCCUGGGGAGUACGGCCGCAAGGUUAAAACUCAAAUGAAUUGACGGGGGCCCGCACAAGCGGUGGAGCAUGUGGUUUAAUUCGAUGCAACGCGAAGAACCUUACCUGGUCUUGACAUCCACAGAACUUUCCAGAGAUGGAUUGGUGCCUUCGGGAACUGUGAGACAGGUGCUGCAUGGCUGUCGUCAGCUCGUGUUGUGAAAUGUUGGGUUAAGUCCCGCAACGAGCGCAACCCUUAUCCUUUGUUGCCAGCGGUUCGGCCGGGAACUCAAAGGAGACUGCCAGUGAUAAACUGGAGGAAGGUGGGGAUGACGUCAAGUCAUCAUGGCCCUUACGACCAGGGCUACACACGUGCUACAAUGGCAUAUACAAAGAGAAGCGACCUCGCGAGAGCAAGCGGACCUCAUAAAGUAUGUCGUAGUCCGGAUUGGAGUCUGCAACUCGACUCCAUGAAGUCGGAAUCGCUAGUAAUCGUAGAUCAGAAUGCUACGGUGAAUACGUUCCCGGGCCUUGUACACACCGCCCGUCACACCAUGGGAGUGGGUUGCAAAAGAAGUAGGUAGCUUAACCUUCGGGAGGGCGCUUACCACUUUGUGAUUCAUGACUGGGGUGAAGUCGUAACAAGGUAACCGUAGGGGAACCUGCGGUUGGAUCACCUCCUUA
Molecule: ribosomal RNA, 1540 nt
Filed under: Klebsiella variicola
Lineage: Bacteria; Pseudomonadati; Pseudomonadota; Gammaproteobacteria; Enterobacterales; Enterobacteriaceae
Also listed under: 2 other names
Description: bacterial SSU rRNA
Rfam family: Bacterial small subunit ribosomal RNA
Source: RNAcentral